CCACCUGAUCCCAUCCCGAACUCAGAAGUGAAACAGACCUGCGCCGAUGGUAGUGUGGCGUUGCCCAUGUGAGAGUAGGUCAUCGUCAGGC
Molecule: ribosomal RNA, 91 nt
Filed under: Marinobacter sp.
Lineage: Bacteria; Pseudomonadati; Pseudomonadota; Gammaproteobacteria; Pseudomonadales; Marinobacteraceae
Source: RNAcentral